This 409-nucleotide ribosomal RNA is filed under the name bacterium. RNAcentral describes it as "partial 16S ribosomal RNA". It matches the Rfam family "Bacterial small subunit ribosomal RNA", at positions 355 to 776 of the family's 1533-position model. The record is from RNAcentral.
UGGGGAAUAUUGCACAAUGGGCGAAAGCCUGAUGCAGCGACGCCGCGUGAGGGAUGACGGCCUUCGGGUUGUAAACCUCUUUCAGUAGGGACGAAGCGCAAGUGACGGUACCUGCAGAAGAAGCACCGGCUAACUACGUGCCAGCAGCCGCGGUAAUACGUAGGGUGCGAGCGUUGUCCGGAAUUACUGGUCGUAAAGAGCUCGUAGGCGGUUUGUCACGUCGUCUGUGAAAUCCUAGGGCUUAACCCUGGACGUGCAGGCGAUACGGGCUGAUUUGAGGACUAAAGGGGAGACUGGAAUUUCUGGGGUAGCGGUGGAAUGCACAGAUACCAGGAAGAACACCGAUGGCGAAGGCAGGUCUCUGGGUAGUAACUGACGCUGAGGAGCGAAAGCAUGGGUAGCGAACAGG